This is a long non-coding RNA of Myotis myotis, 2195 nucleotides long. RefSeq lists it as uncharacterized. The transcript has 3 exons. NCBI's taxonomy places the organism in Eukaryota, Metazoa, Chordata, Mammalia, Chiroptera, Vespertilionidae. The record is from RefSeq and is a predicted model, not a curated record.
CAGGAACAAUUCCUGUUCUCACUGUGUUUACAAUCUCCCAGGAAAAUACAAAUGAUGGGUACACAGCAAUGAAGAUAAAUUCAUCUCUGACAAUUACAAGUGCUAUGAAGAAAAUAAAACAUAGGAAAAGGAAAAGGGUACUAAGGUGAAAAAGAAUAUGACAUUCCUCUCUGAAGGGGUGGCAUUUGAGCGGAGCUGGCUGGGUGGAGAAAUCGGAGAGCUUUUAGACAAAUUGAAAAGCUUCCAUUUUUUCUAUACGGGGGCAGCAAUAGGUUGGAAGAAGUUUGAAGGACUUUUAAAAAAUGAUAUUGCAUAAAAAUCCCUUUCUGUUUAUUUACAGUACAUAUUUAUUUGAAAUGGAAGGAGCUGAUACAAAAAAACAGGUGACUGAGUGCGCCCCCUUCAUAUCUACCAGGCCGUUCUUUGAGCUUCCAGACAUUCAAACAGAAAGCAAAAGCAAAGGCAAAGCCCAACCGGUGUGGCUCAGUGGUUGAGCAUUGACCUAUGAACCAGGAGGUCUUGGUUCAAUUCCAGGACCAAUUACACUGAAGGAAUCUAGAAGGUGACCAGAAAACCUCCUGUGAAAAACAUUCACUCCAAGGAUCCUGGGAUCUACUAAUACCAAGAAGAUAAUCACACAGGACAAACGCCCUAUCAGUUCAUCAUGUGGCCACUUGAAAGCAAACUCCUAUGAAAAUGCAAGGCACUUUUGGCAUAUUUGCUAUGAUCCGUAUGAUUAAUGUUGUAUCAUAAAUUCUCUAGCUUAUGUUUAUAAUACUCUUCAAACAGAUUGGGUGGUUUCAGUAUUCUCAACUAGGUGACCUUCCAGAAUCUGUUAGAAUCUCUAGCACUUCUAAACCCUUAGUUGUGUAACAAUACAAAAUUGACCAAAAUUUGUCACUGAGUGAUUAUUUGAACAAAACCCAACAGAAAUGUCUAUUUUCUCAGCUGCGUUUGCAAUUCUUUUAAAUGAAAAUGUUUUAAAUGAUAUAGUUUCACUUAGGGACUAUUGGAGGAUAAAGUGUUUCUUUGAUAUGGGGAACAAUAACAUAUAAAAGAUAUUUUUAAAUAUUACUUGACAUUUAGGAGGGAAGUGAGCUAAAAGGAAAUGGGUGGAAUUUUACCUAAUAUAUCUAACCAAAAAUAAUCUUAAUCUGUUCAAAUCAGUUUUCCUUUAAGAUAGAAUUUUAUUAUUUAUUGCAUUGAUUUGUUGUUGAAUAAUAUUGAAGGUUCCUUUUUGUAACUUAAAUAUGAAAUGACUGUAAAAUUCAGGGUUACCAAAGGUAAUGGAAAUUUGAUUUCCUUUAAAACAUUUAAUGCAUCUAUUUCUGCAUAUUUUUCUAAGCUUAUUUUACUAAAUAGAUUUAAAAUGAUCUCAAAGGCUUAUUAUGUUUUAAUUCUGAAAGAGCUUAUCAACUCCUGUCCCUUUCUUUUGCAGAUGAUUAAACAGAGGGCAGUACAAAUUAAACGACCUGGUAGAAAUAUAGAUUUUAUGUGUUACCUUUCAUUUCCCAUUUUUGGAGGGUUUUGUUACAUGCUUUUAAGCCUCUCAACUGUUGAAUAAUCUUUUUGUUUCUUCCAUUUUCCUUCUCUCAUGAGCUUACCCUCUAAAUACAUUUAGCUUUUACUCUUACAUUUUUUUUCCAGAGUAACAUUCAACCAUUUCUUGCAUUCAACUUUGACCAAUAUUAAAAUUUUUUACAAUAGUUUUUAAUAUAAUGCCUUGUCCCCAAGUCUGUAUCAGUUAGCUACUGUUGUUAUAUGCUACAUAAGAAGUAACCCCAAAACUCAAUUGUGUACAGUAACAAGCAUUUAUUUUUGUUCACACAUCCGCAAAUUGAUGCAGUUUCAUUGAUCUAGACUGGGUUGGCUGUGUUUCCUGUCAAAACUGUCUGGCUACCUAAGCAUGUUAUUUUCAUGGCAAAGGCAAAAGACUACAUCUAAACUCACAAGUAUAUUUCAAACCUCUGCUAGUUUUAUUUCACCAACAUCCAAUUGUCCAAAACAAGUCACACAGCCAAACACAUCAUCAAUAGGAUAGAGACAAUAUUCCUUCCAAAGAGAUUGGGGCAUUGAACAAUGAGUGAACAUUUGCUGAACAAUAAUUUUCCAUACCGGUUCUGAAGCUACUCAAAACUUUGUUGAUACAAACCCUCUCUUCAAAUAAUUUUGAAUAAAUACUUACUAGACACCAA